UACAUUGUGGUGUAUGAGCAUAUAAAUUUUUGAAGUUUAAGGGGAAAUUCGUAGUUUCUUUUGUAU
This 66-nucleotide transfer RNA is filed under the name Acanthosepion esculentum (golden cuttlefish). RNAcentral's name for it is "Sepia esculenta (golden cuttlefish) tRNA-Gln". Lineage: Eukaryota; Metazoa; Mollusca; Cephalopoda; Sepiida; Sepiidae. The record is from RNAcentral.